RNAcentral lists this ribosomal RNA (748 nucleotides) under uncultured bacterium. RNAcentral describes it as "bacterial SSU rRNA". It matches the Rfam family "Bacterial small subunit ribosomal RNA", at positions 55 to 818 of the family's 1533-position model. The record is from RNAcentral.
AUGCAGUCGACGGAAGUUAGAGCUUCGGUUUUAACUUUAGUGGCGAACGGGUGAGUAACGCGUGAGGAACCUGCCUUUCAGUGGGGGACAACAGUUGGAAACGACUGCUAAUACCGCAUGAUGCUUUUGGGAGACAUCUCCUGAAAGUCAAAGCUUUAUGUGCUGAAAGAUGGCCUCGCGCCUGAUUAGCUAGUUGGUGAGGUAACGGCUCACCAAGGCGACGAUCAGUAGCCGGUCUGAGAGGAUGAACGGCCACAUUGGGACUGAGAUACGGCCCAGACUCCUACGGGAGGCAGCAGUGGGGAAUAUUGGGCAAUGGGGGAAACCCUGACCCAGCAACGCCGCGUGAAGGAAGAAGGCCUUCGGGUUGUAAACUUCUUUUACCAGGGACGAAGGACGUGACGGUACCUGGAGAAAAAGCAACGGCUAACUACGUGCCAGCAGCCGCGGUAAUACGUAGGUUGCAAGCGUUGUCCGGAUUUACUGGGUGUAAAGGGCGUGUAGGCGGAGAUGCAAGUUGGGAGUGAAAUCCAUGGGCUCAACCCAUGAACUGCUCUCAAAACUGUAUCCCUUGAGUAUCGGAGAGGCAAGCGGAAUUCCUAGUGUAGCGGUGAAAUGCGUAGAUAUUAGGAGGAACACCAGUGGCGAAGGCGGCUUGCUGGACGACAACUGACGCUGAGGCGCGAAAGCGUGGGGAGCAAACAGGAUUAGAUACCCUGGUAGUCCACGCUGUAAACGAUGAAUACUA